AUACGUAGGGUGCAGGCGUUAAUCGGAAUUACUGGGCGUAAAGCGUGCGCAGGCGGUUUUGUAAGACAGAGGUGAAAUCCCCGGGCUCAACCUGGGAACUGCAUUAGUGACUGCAUAGCUGGAGUGCGGCAGAGGGGGAUGGAAUUCCGCGUGUAGCAGUGAAAUGCGUAGAUAUGCGGAGGAACACCGAUGGCGAAGGCAAUCCCCUGGGCCUGCACUGACGCUCAUGCACGAAAGCGUGGGGAGC
This 247-nucleotide ribosomal RNA is filed under the name uncultured bacterium. RNAcentral's name for it is "partial 16S ribosomal RNA". It matches the Rfam family "Bacterial small subunit ribosomal RNA", at positions 523 to 769 of the family's 1533-position model. The record is from RNAcentral.